GACGAACGCUGGCGGCGCGCUUAACACAUGCAAGUCGAGCGAAUUGGCGGACGGGUGAGUAACACGUGAGUAACCUGCCUUAGACAUUGGGAUAGCCUCGGUAAACCGGGAUUAAUAUCAAAUGGUCUAAGAUGGACUCGCGUCCCAUUAGCUAGUUGGUGGGUACCGGCCCACCAAGGCGACGAUGGGGAGCCGGCCUUGGAGGGUGAACGGCCACAUUGGGAGUGAGAGACGGUCCAAACACUACGGGAGGAAGCAGUGGUGAAUAUUGCACAAUGAAGAGAACUCUGAUGCAGCGACGCCGGGUCAACGAAGAAGGCUUUCGAGUUGUAAAGUUCUUUUAUAUGGGAAGCGGUACCAUAAGAAAAAGCCCCGGCUAACUACGUGCCAGCAGCCGCGGUAAUAC
RNAcentral lists this ribosomal RNA (406 nucleotides) under uncultured bacterium. RNAcentral describes it as "partial 16S ribosomal RNA". It matches the Rfam family "Bacterial small subunit ribosomal RNA", at positions 28 to 526 of the family's 1533-position model. The record is from RNAcentral.